GAUUUUUUCUCAAAAGAUUUUGUUAUUCCUAAAACUAAAAUUUAAAUUUAUAGUUAAAAUAGGUUUGUUAUUAAUAUCCUUAUAAUUAUUUAGAAAUGUUAUACAUUAAAUAAACUAAUGUAAAUAAUAAAAAAAUUAUUUGAAUAUAUGGACCUAGACUUCUAGUAUGACUAUUUUGUAGUAGAUAAAAAUAGUACUUCUCUUUUAAUAGAGAAGAUUAGGAUGAUACAAUAUUGACUACCCAGAGUAACCGAAAGUAUCAUUUGAUUACAAGUUAUUAUCAAGAGCAUCUUUCAAAAGGAAUUUUAUUUUGAAGUUUCUGAAACUCUAUAUUUGAAGUCUAAAGGUAUUUUUUUCCAAAAGCAAAACUUCAAACUCAACUUCAAAACUAUUUGUAUUUUAUAAUUCUUUUUUUGUCGACAACUUUCCAAACUCAUAAGGACUAUGUAAACCACACCGGGAGAUAUUGAUCCAUGUGGACGACGAAAGACGACUGUUUUCUGACACUGCGUGCUGAAUUAUCCGCCUUUGUAUUUUGCGUUUUUGGUACAUGUAUAAUCUCUGAUCAUGUAAAACUCUCUUUCAGGUUCUUGAUAUCUUCCAAAUAACUUGUAAAAGCUGGCAAUUCUUCUGGUUCCGAAACCAUAUGCACCAAUUGAGAACAAUCCGUUGCAAACGUAACCUGAAAUUGUCUUAAAUUCCUCAUACAUUCCAUUGCCCAUAGUGAGGCAUCAAACUCUGCAUGCAAAGGCGAGAGAGAAGCUCUUACAUUCCUUGCUCCCAUCAGACCUUCAAUUCCAGCUAGAGUACUGACCAACCCUGGCCAGAGAACAUAUCCUCCUCUUUCCAUAAUCCAUCUGUGAAGCACCAUCUACCGGGAAUUGACGGAAGAGUCAUAACUUGAGUCUCUGUCUCCCUCUUCUGAUCUCUUAGCACAUGUGCAUCCGCCCAUAGUGUUGAUUCCGUCUCAGCCAAUUUAAGAGUUUUCCUAGAGUAUAUAUCCAGAUUACAAAAUUUUUUGUGAAUUCAAAUUAGUUAUGACAAAUAUAAGGACCAUAUUAUAAAAAUACAAAUACUAUUUGUAUUUUAUAAUAUGGUCCUUAUAUUUGUCAUAACUAAUUUGAAUUCACAAAAAAUUUGUAAAUAACUAGCACUUAUAUAAACAUAUUACAUCAAUAUUAAUCAAUAAAAUAUUAUAUUAAAAUAUAAAAUUUUAAACAAAAUAACUUAAUUAAUAUUAAACAUCAAGCAAAAUACCAUACUAUUCUAUAAAGUGAUUUCGUAAUGCAUAUGUGAUAUACUAGUGCAUUUUGAAGUAAAAAUGGCUCUCCUCAUUUUAACUUGUAGAUUAAAGAUAAAAAUUGCUGAAAUCGGGUGAUAUUAAUACUUGUAAAUACAUUAGUUUAGAACAAAAAAUUAAAAGAGAAACAUAAAAUAUUACUAAAAUACUAACUUUUAUCGUUGAUAUUAAUACUCGUGAAUAUAUUCAAUAUGAACAAGAGAGAAUUGUACGAAAAGACAUCAUCACCAACAACAACCAUUUUCAGUUACACAAAAAGAAAAUUAGACAAUAUUUGAAAAUUUUGAAAGUUCCAGAUCAAACUUACCUGACUAUUAGUGUUGGUGUAAUAUUUAAAUUUGUGUAAUAGUUAUAUCUUCAUGUAAUUUUUUACAAGUUUUAUUUGUUAAGUUUCUUUUGUAUACUUUUUGUUAUCUAAAUCUAGUUUUAAAUAUUUUCAAUCUUAUUUUAAAGUUUUAUUUAAUUUUAUGUGUAAACUUAAAUUUUAUAAACAAAACUUAAAAUAUUUAUGAAUCAUAAAUGUGAUGUGUAAUUGUAGGAACUAAAAUGCAAAUAAAAAUAUGAAAGUUCAAAUUUUAAGUCUUGAAUAGUGAAAAAUAUAGAGUUUUACUUCUCAAAACUUCAAAUUUUCUUUUUAUAAAGUAAAAAACUUUAUAUUUGAAGUUAUAGAGUGUCUUUUGAAAUUGCUCAAUCUAUAUAUGAUGUUUUAACUCAUUUCGACGAGCCUAUAUAACUAUAUUAAGGUUUGAGAAUCUGUAUUGUAUCAAAAUUGAUUACUACCUUUUUCAUUAUAGAUAUUACUCCGCCAUAACUAAGCAUAUAUUUCGUAAAUAUAUAGCCUAUAUAUUCAUUAUGUUAUGUGCUUAUACUAUUACUCGCGAGUUGAUAUACUGUUGAUAAGACUUCGUUCAUAAGUAAUUUUCAAUCAAAGCAGGAGUAGUAUUAUUGGACCUCACGGCCGGCUUGUGCACAAGACUAGAUGGUACACUUUUCUUUUAGCAACGAAUAGUGCACAAGAAAUAAAGAAAAUGGACUAAAAUUAGGGGGAGCCCUGACUGAGCAGAUUCGUUAAAAUGGGCCCCAUGAGAAUCAGUUUUAAAUCGGACGAUGGAAAAACAAUGCUGUUACCGAUACACAAAUGUGAAUUAGACAGUGGUAGAUUGACCUGGUUAUGUAAGUCAAGCACUGCUCUUUAAAGGCGCGUACGUGUCAGGAUAUGCCAAGUAUUGGGAAACACGUGUGUCUCGUGUGAAUCUCGAGAAGAAUAAAUACGCAUCUAUUAAAAAAUCAACUUAGGUUUUAUCUCACCAAAAAAUGUGAUCUUAAAAUUUCUUGAAACUAACUCUACUAUUCCUUUUUUUUGGACUAAACUCUAAUAUCCUUUGUGUGCGAAAGCUUUACAGAAAAAGAAAUUUCUUCUUUAUGAGUAUUUGUUAAAUCUAUAUACUUGCUAAUCAACUUUAGUAUCAAUAAUUCGAAACCCACAGGAAAACCUGCAAACAAGGCUUUGCCAUUGAAAGCAAAACCGGAAUUUGGUAAAACCACCUACGAGUUGUUUUGUUUGGAAGUUUGAAUACAUAAGGAAUAAAUUAGUCAUUAAUAGUUUAUUGCUUAUACAUGUUCAUUUUCCCAAUAUUUUAGCCGUUCAACUGCUACAAUAUUUUAUUCGACUAAUUCAAUCAAAUGACUUAUAUACAUAUCAGUUUUAUAAUGGUGAUAUGGAAGUGUUAUAAUCUCAUCAAUCACCAUUGAUAAGCUAGUGCAGAUUGUUUUUCAUUUUUCUGUUCAUUUUUAAAAAUAUAUCUUGUGCAGAAUAUCGACGAUUAAUCGUACACAGAGGUGUUUUAUAAAUCAAGUAAAUACGAAACCAAACAACGGUCCAAUGAGGUGAUGGCAGGGCACGUAAAUAAGUAGCCUAAGAAAAGUGUAUUUGGACCCUCCAUCCUGUGUGCUAGGAAUGAUGGGCCCACAGUAUUUAUGCAAUUAAGAAAUAAUGACAUAAUCUAUACAAUACUAAAAGGCCAAUAUACUCAUCGUUUAGACCCUCCACGUUGGAUCAGAUAAUCAUCCAAUAGAAACGCUGCUUUCCGCCACGUCACACAUAUAUGGGCUUGCACGAUUUUUUUGUUUUCUGUUGGUUAUGGACUCUUCUUUCUGGGCCGCAGUGCAAACCAAAAGAAAGCCCAUCUCGCCUACCUCUUCUUCCUGAUUCGCCUUUCUAAGGUUCAUCGUCACUUUGACCCAAAAAAAAAAAGUGUUCAUCGUCACUAAUCUUCGCGUCAGAGUUUGUUCAUGUCGUUCCCGUUUCGAUUCUUCACCUCCCAACGGUUACAAGUCUCAUUGAUUCAACAUAAUUAACCAAAACUUAGCUCUUCCUGGCCACUACAACCAAGAUCUCGCUUUCAAAGACUCUUAUCUAGCUUCAAGGCGGUGACUCUCACCUAUAAAAACGAGGCUGGAAGUUGUUCUUCUUACACGGUGGAGGUUCGGCUGCUCAGAUUCUGGAAAGCAAGAAUGUGAUCAUGUUUGAUUUUUUCGUGGUUGAAUCUAAACGUGAUCGUGUUUGACUUAGUAAUUCACUAUGAGACUUACCAGAAAUCUCUUGCGGAGCACCAAAACCCAGAUACGUUGAAGAGGCUGAAUGCGGCUGAUAGAUCCAAGAAGAUUUGCUGCAUCAAUAGUAUUUUGAUCCCACUAUUGGUGAGGCAAAGCGUCAAAAAGGUAAUCUGGUUUUGCAGUUCUAUCUUGGUAAAGCGAGUUAUACUAACAUCAUUUUGUGUUUGUAAUACAGGUAAUAAGUUAUUCAAGGAGCAGGAGUAUCAUGAUGCUGUGAGACAUCACACUGAAGCUAUACAAAGAAAUCCAAAAGAACCAACAGUAAGUCCAAUUCUAAUCAUCUUAUAUGUACUUAACUGUUGUGUAUAAAGGCUUCACUGUUACGUCUUCAUUUCGGUUUAGAGCGAACCAGUGAGCUAAGAUUUUUUUUUUUUCUUUUCUUCCAGACUAGGCCUAGGGGAAUGCAAGACCAGGGAAUCAAGAACAUUCUCACAGAUCUGUAAUGAGACAGGUAAUGAGACAAACUUUGAUCUCUAGAUGUCUUCUCCAUUUACAAAUCAAUGUUUGGUUAUUUGUUGCAGCAAUCCGUCUUGAUGUUAAUGAUAUCUCACCAAAAUCCAAACUCUUUUAACAGAUUCUGUAUGAUUUCAGGAGAAUUCACCAGCAGCACAACAUGCACACCCGAUGAUCAUGAUCAAAUCCAAAAGCAUAUAAAGCUAAACCCAGAUUUUUUACUUUUUGUAGCUCUCAAACCAAAAUCAAGUUCCACCCAUUGUUUCAGGAUAAUCUGAUGUAACAUUUUCUUAUAUCAAAUGUGUCUUUAUAAGACAGAGACUUGAAUUGCUUACAUAACUGCAAAGCCCAAAACAAACUCACAAAAAUUCUUCAGUACGUAGGGUUAGUUCUGAACAAGAAAAACAAAAUGUUAAGCAGCAACUUCUUCAUCCUUGGAUGAAAGUUCAGAGGAUGAUGCAAGCUCUUGGUGUUUUGUUGAAUGUUCAGUUUAGGACUUACGCGGGAUGAAGAUGAGGCUCAGGAGGAUGAGAUACCUACACGAGUAAUAUAAUUCAACAAUUAUUGAAAGAACAAGAACAAGAGAAAACUAAAAACAUGAAAAAAAAACAUCAAUACCCAAGCCGGAUAGUUCUUUUUUUCACAAAGAAGCCGGAUAGUUCUUGACGCCUGACAUCUCAAUAUCACUCAAAAGGAUGACCAAAUUGAUUGAGAAAAUAAAAAAAGUAAUAACAAACAAACAAAAAUUGAUUACAAAAGAAAGUAUAUCUCUAAUGUAGUCUUAUACACAACAAAAACAUAUACACAAUAAAAACAUACAAAUAAAUACAACACGUAUCUAAUUAUUCGAUGCUAUUAAUCUCCAACCACCAUCACUACCAUCAAAUAGUCAUAUAAUCAUUAACCAUUAUUGCUAUACAUAAAUUACUAGCUUAAUAUACGUCUAACAGUAUAUAUAUAUAUAUAUAAGUUAUUAGUUUUAAGUAUAGUCAGAUAUUAAUAAAUAAAAAUAAAUUUUUUAGAUGUUAAUAUAUAAUAAAUAAAUUAUAUUUAAUGAGGUCAGUGUUAAAAAUUAUUUUCUAAAAAUUAAUCAGUAUCAUUUUAGAAAAUUAAUCGGUAACGUAUAUAAAUUACAAAAUUAAUAAUAAAAUAAAUAGUGAAACUUUUUUAUAAAUAUUGAAAAUUAAUGUUACAUAUUAUUGCGAUUAAAUUAAACAUUUUUAAAGUUACUUUAAAUUAGUUUAAAGGGUAAUAUAAGUAUAUGUUUUACAAGUAUUGUGAACACAAAAUCUAAGGUUAUUGUAAAUGUGGACUUUUAAAAAAAAAACUAAAAUCAAAAGCUCAACCAUCAAACAAGUAAUAAAAGGAGGAUAUAAACCUUAGAUAGAGUGUCCACGUAGGCAAAAAUAAUCGUCCAAUGAGAAACUAUAUUUUUGCCAUGUCACCUCCUCUAUUUGUUUUUACAAAAUGAUCCUUUAACUUUUUACUUAAACAAUUAUAACCAAAAAUAUUUUUUAGUGAAAUAUAUUAUUUAUAUAAUUAUAUUAUUUAUUUACAUAAUAGUUUGUAAAGAAAUAUUUAGUGUAAAUAAUAUCAUAAUUUUAUAAAAUACUAAAAUAAAUUGGGUUAGUUUUCAAAUUUCACAAAUAAAAAGUAUUAUUUGUAAACUUAGAAAAUAAUAUAUCAAGAAUAUUAUUUUUCAGGAGAGAAAAUAGAAAAAUACAUCGGAGACAAAUUCAUCUCUAUUAUGAAAUUUCUCUAUUUUAGAGAAAAAAUAGAGGAAUACAUUGGAGAUGGUCUAAGGCAUGACCGACGUAAAUGAUCGACGUUGAGAUUUCAGAUUUUCUGAUUCGUACAUUUUAAUGUUUCAAUAUAAUUUGAAUAUUCUCUUUGCUUUAUAAUAUAAUGGUUAAAAAGUAUUUUUUGUUUCACUAUAUAAAUUAUUUUUUAUAUAUCAAUGUAACUUUAUACUUAUUGGAUAUUGUGUGGCUAAUUAAAUUAUGUAAAUUAUUGUGUAAUUGAUUAAAUUUAUAUACUGAUAUUGCUCAAUUACACUAAAAGUCUAAAUUUACAACAUACACAGUUUUAUUUACAUCUUUAAACCUAUUAUCUAAUUAAAAUGAUUCUAAAAAAGUGCCAGCAUGAAGAGUUCAAAAAUAUACGAUAAAAUAUAAUACAUAACGUUAAAAAUGCAUUAUCACUGAUCACUAAAAAAUCAUGUUAAUAGUAAUAGAAA
Molecule: long non-coding RNA, 6605 nt
Organism: Brassica rapa (field mustard)
Lineage: Eukaryota; Viridiplantae; Streptophyta; Magnoliopsida; Brassicales; Brassicaceae
Source: RefSeq, a predicted model, not a curated record